UACGUAGGGUGCGAGCGUUAAUCGGAAUUACUGGGCGUAAAGCGUGCGCAGGCGGCUUUGCAGGACAGAGGUGAAAUCCCCGGGCUCAACCUGGGAACUGCCUUUGUGACUGCAAGGCUAGAGUACGGCAGAGGGGGAUGGAAUUCCGCGUGUAGCAGUGAAAUGCGUAGAUAUGCGGAGGAACACCGAUGGCGGAGGCAAUCCCCUGGGCCUGUACUGACGCUCAUGCACGAAAGCGUGGGGAGCAAACAGG
RNAcentral lists this ribosomal RNA (253 nucleotides) under uncultured bacterium. Its description in RNAcentral is "partial 16S ribosomal RNA". It matches the Rfam family "Bacterial small subunit ribosomal RNA", at positions 524 to 776 of the family's 1533-position model. The record is from RNAcentral.